This 668-nucleotide unclassified non-coding RNA is filed under the name Hevea brasiliensis (rubber tree). The record is from RNAcentral. Lineage: Eukaryota; Viridiplantae; Streptophyta; Magnoliopsida; Malpighiales; Euphorbiaceae.
AGGACCAUUCUAUGGUUGAAGACUCAGAGAGUAUAAGAGGACUUAGUGAUUGUACUCCAAGAUUUGAUGUGAAGCAAAGUGACCAAGAUGUCACCCAUGCAAAUCCUAUUGGAAGUUCUGAACCUAAUAAUGACAGUCAAAAGCACUCUGAGAUGUCUUUUGAUGGUGUUCACAAUAUUGAAUGGAUUGGGAAUGUACUUAAAGUUUCAGAUGGAAAAAAAUUCUAUGAGUCUUGUCUUGUUGAUGGAGUAACAUAUAAAGUGCAGGAUCAUGCCCUUUUUCAUUCUAGCCAUGAGAAAUUGAUACCCUCUAAACUUCAGGCAAUGUGGGAGGACAUCAAAACAGGAUCAAAGUGGGUUAUUGUGAAUAGAUGCUACUUUCCAGGUGACCUGCCUAAGGCUGUGGGCCACCCAUGUGCCCCUGAAAGCAAUGAGGUAUAUGAAUCUAAUCACCAGAGCAGUGUAAUGGCUGGCUUGAUUCAAGGUCCGUGUGCAGUUCUUCCUCCUACCAAGUUUCAAGAGAACUGUGAAAGACAGAGUCAGUUAGAAACUGAGGCUAAUAGUGGAUUGCAGCCAGUUUUUAUAUGCAAAUGGUUUUAUGAUGAAGCCAAAGGAAGUUUUCAACCUGUUUUUGGUUAGUCAUUCAUGCACAUAUUUUGUGAGGCGAUG